Molecule: non-coding RNA, 1431 nt
Organism: Pelobates cultripes (western spadefoot toad)
Lineage: Eukaryota; Metazoa; Chordata; Amphibia; Anura; Pelobatidae
Source: the annotation of a GenBank genome assembly
GAUAAAAGGUAAACAAUAGGGUACAGAAGAAAAAAGAGGGAGGGAUGAAUGGUUACAAUUCAUUCCACACAAUUUUGCACUUUUAGUCAAUUUAUUCGCUUUAUACGUUUAGUAGAGUUCGCAUUUUGUGUUACAUAACGGAGUGUGAGCGUCUGGGUGGUUAUAUUCAUAUUAUUAACGGUAGUGUCGACUGUUUUCCCUUCUGCAGUUGGGACGCAUUUGAGGUGGUUGUUUGUGGAUUGGGUGAGCAUGUGUCGUAUUCGGAGAAUGUGUGUUCGUAGUUGAAUUGGGGGGGGGAACAUCAGGGGAGAAAGGGGGAAAACUGGAAACCUGGUAUACUGAAUUUACCACAUCGAAUAUGCAGUGUGAUGUAAUGUGGGGAGUUGCGGUUGGAUGUGUAAUAGUAUCUUUUUUUUUUUUUUUAUUCUUUUUUUUUCUUGUGCAUGGAAAGACUGAACAUUUUCUUGCGAUGCCACAACAGCAAUAGCAAGCUGGGUAGUAGCAUUGAACUUGGUAUGGCAUACAAUUAAACAGCACAUUUUUAUAUUAAAGACAGGCGAAAACUGAAACGUUAUGUCACAAGAGUAGAUAUAAUUUUAUGCUAAAGUUGCUAAUAAUUCAAACAUAUGCGUCAGUAAGGUAAGUAUAAACGUAUGCAUCUGUAAGGUAAGUAUAAGGUGGGAUACAGAUAUGGUAUUUAGAAUCCAUGCUAAUACAAGUGGGGUGGUUGCAUAAUGUAAGGGGUGUUAUUAGGUUCUUUAAUGAGGGUCGCUAGGGGUGCGGACCACAAUGAUCCCAUACAGUUACAGUCUUGGGUCAAUUAAGGAGACCUGCUUAGGGUGUCCGAGGUAACCCGUUAAGUGUGGUGGGUAGGGGUACUUAGAACAGGCUCACUAUAGUUUUAGCAGGCUUUUGUGUAUAUCCCUGUUAGGCCGUUUCUCUGGGUGAUCGCGCCUAUGUGUGAGACAUCCGAGCAGGGCAUAAAACAGGCAAUGAGGGUUAAACUACAAUUAGGUCACAAUGAUCAUUGUAUUGUGAGUGUCAUAACGAGGGGUUGCGCCCUGCCGGGUGAUGGCAGUUUGGGCCGCUGAGGUGCAGGCGGGUUUGGCAUAUUUGCAGGAUCCCCUUCGAGGCGUGGGAGCACCAGUGCUGGUGCCUAGGAUACUUGGCGUUGUUUCCCUCUGUGCUGGUUUCCGGCUCCGCUGGUGGGCCGGCCUAAGUGGCGCCGGAUUGCUGGGCAGAUCCACGCUGCCACCUCUUUGAUCACCAUCAAGUAGGGCCGUCUCUGAGCCUGGAGCUUUAUCCAAAUGCUGGCGCAGAUCUGGUCGAAGAACUCCCGUGAGUGCUUGGGAGGCUUGAUUAGAGUGCGUUUAGUGGUAGGCUGUGUCCGUGCCACCAUCUUGUGUGGGCCUGGAUAUGCCUGUGUUGCUU